UGGCUUAGACAGUGAAGAAUCUGCCUGCAAUGCAGAAGACCAGGGUUCGAUCCCUG
Molecule: transfer RNA, 56 nt
Filed under: Bos indicus (zebu cattle)
Lineage: Eukaryota; Metazoa; Chordata; Mammalia; Artiodactyla; Bovidae
Also listed under: 4 other names
Rfam family: tRNA
About the family: Transfer RNA (tRNA) molecules are approximately 80 nucleotides in length. Their secondary structure includes four short double-helical elements and three loops (D, anti-codon, and T loops).
Source: Rfam by way of RNAcentral